UACAGAGGUGGCAAGCGUUUGUUCGGAAUUACUGGGCGUAAAGCGUGCGCAGGCGGUUUGUUAAGACAGAUGUGAAAUCCCCGGGCUUAACCUGGGAACUGCGUUUGUAACUGGCAAGCUAGAGUGUGGCAGAGGGGGGGUGGAAUUCCACGUGUAGCAGUGAAAUGCGUAGAGAUGUGGAGGAACACCGAUGGCGAAGGCAGCCCCCUGGGCUAACACUGGACGCUCAUGCACGAAAGCGUGGGGAGCAAACGAGGAUUAGAGUACCGAGUG
This 273-nucleotide ribosomal RNA is filed under the name uncultured bacterium. Its description in RNAcentral is "partial 16S ribosomal RNA". It matches the Rfam family "Bacterial small subunit ribosomal RNA", at positions 524 to 793 of the family's 1533-position model. The record is from RNAcentral.